UACAGAGGUCUCAAGCGUUGUUCGGAUUCAUUGGGCGUAAAGGGUGCGUAGGCGGCGCGGUAAGUCGGGUGUGAAAUCUCGGGGCUUAACUCCGAAACUGCAUUCGAUACUGCCGUGCUUGAGGACUGGAGAGGAGACUGGAAUUUACGGUGUAGCGGUGAAAUGCGUAGAUAUCGUAAGGAAGACCAGUGGCGAAGGCGACUUCCUGGCCUGUUCUUGACGCUGAGGCGCGAAAGCUAGGGGAGCAAACGGG
This 253-nucleotide ribosomal RNA is filed under the name uncultured bacterium. RNAcentral describes it as "partial 16S ribosomal RNA". It matches the Rfam family "Bacterial small subunit ribosomal RNA", at positions 524 to 776 of the family's 1533-position model. The record is from RNAcentral.